Molecule: ribosomal RNA, 253 nt
Filed under: uncultured bacterium
Lineage: Bacteria
Description: partial 16S ribosomal RNA
Rfam family: Bacterial small subunit ribosomal RNA
Source: RNAcentral
GACAGAGGGUGCGAACGUUGUUCGGAAUUACUGGGCGUAAAGCGCGUGUAGGCUGUUCGGAAAGUCGGGUGUGAAAGCCCUGGGCUCAACCUAGGAAGUGCACUCGAAACUCCCGAACUGGAGUCCCGGAGAGGAUGGCGGAAUUCUCGGUGUAGAGGUGAAAUUCGUAGAUAUCGAGAGGAACAUCGGUGGCGAAGGCGGCCUUCUGGACGGUGACUGACGCUGAGACGCGAAAGCGUGGGGAGCAAACAGG